This is a small nucleolar RNA of Tachyglossus aculeatus (Australian echidna), 137 nucleotides long. The record is from RefSeq and is a predicted model, not a curated record. NCBI's taxonomy places the organism in Eukaryota, Metazoa, Chordata, Mammalia, Monotremata, Tachyglossidae.
CCCCUCACAGGGUCACAUCUGGAGAGUUUCCAGUACUCUACCAGCCUCGACUAUGGGAGGGAGAAUCAAGUAGAGGCAUACUCAUUCCAUUCCUAGCUUGGGCUGUGCUAGUGAAUGGAAGGCAACCUGCUACAAGU